GGGCCAAGAUGUAGCCAAGGACAACUUGCCAAUGGAUGGAUGGAUGAAUGGCCAGCGAUCAAAAUGAUGAUCAGAUCGAACACAAUUCACAACCCAAGCUUAGCUAGCUGCAUCCGUAGAUCGAUCGAUCGAUCGAUCGGCAAGUCAUCCUUGGCUGCACCAUGGCCUCC
Non-coding RNA from Oryza punctata, 170 nucleotides. The record is from Rfam. NCBI's taxonomy places the organism in Eukaryota, Viridiplantae, Streptophyta, Magnoliopsida, Poales, Poaceae.